Molecule: ribosomal RNA, 253 nt
Filed under: uncultured bacterium
Lineage: Bacteria
Description: partial 16S ribosomal RNA
Rfam family: Bacterial small subunit ribosomal RNA
Source: RNAcentral
UACGUAGGGUGCAAGCGUUAAUCGGAAUUACUGGGCGUAAAGCGUGCGCAGGCGGUUAUGUAAGACAGAUGUGAAAUCCCCGGGCUCAACCUGGGAACUGCAUUUGUGACUGCAUAGCUAGAGUACGGUAGAGGGGGAUGGAAUUCCGCGUGUAGCAGUGAAAUGCGUAGAUAUGCGGAGGAACACCGAUGGCGAAGGCAAUCCCCUGGAUCUGUACUGACGCUCAUGCACGAAAGCGUGGGGAGCAAACAGG